CGCCGCGUGAGUGAUGAAGGUUUUCGGAUCGUAAAGCUCUGUUGUUAGGGAAGAACAAGUACCGUUCGAAUAGGGCGGUACCUUGACGGUACCUAACCAGAAAGCCACGGCUAACUACGUGCCAGCAGCCGCGGUAAUACGUAGGUGGCAAGCGUUGUCCGGAAUUAUUGGGCGUAAAGGGCUCGCAGGCGGUUUCUUAAGUCUGAUGUGAAAGCCCCCGGCUCAACCGGGGAGGGUCAUUGGAAACUGGGGAACUUGAGUGCAGAAGAGGAGAGUGGAAUUCCACGUGUAGCGGUGAAAUGCGUAGAGAUGUGGAGGAACACCAGUGGCGAAGGCGACUCUCUGGUCUGUAACUGACGCUGAGGAGCGAAAGCGUGGGGAGCGAACAGGAUUAGAUACCCUGGUAGUCCACGCCGUAAACGAUGAGUGCUAAGUGUUAGGGGGUUUCCGCCCCUUAGUGCUGCAGCUAACGCAUUAAGCACUCCGCCUGGGGAGUACGGUCGCAAGACUGAAACUCAAAGGAAUUGACGGGGGCCCGCACAAGCGGUGGAGCAUGUGGUUUAAUUCGAAGCAACGCGAAGAACCUUACCAGGUCUUGACAUCCUCUGACAAUCCUAGAGAUAGGACGUCCCCUUCGGGGGCAGAGUGACAGGUGGUGCAUGGUUGUCGUCAGCUCGUGUCGUGAGAUGUUGGGUUAAGUCCCGCAACGAGCGCAACCCUUGAUCUUAGUUGCCAGCAUUCAGUUGGGCACUCUAAGGUGACUGCCGGUGACAAACCGGAGGAAGGUGGGGAUGACGUCAAAUCAUCAUGCCCCUUAUGACCUGGGCUACACACGUGCUACAAUGGACAGAACAAAGGGCAGCGAAACCGCGAGGUUAAGCCAAUCCCACAAAUCUGUUCUCAGUUCGGAUCGCAGUCUGCAACUCGACUGCGUGAAGCUGGAAUCGCUAGUAAUCGCG
Molecule: ribosomal RNA, 959 nt
Filed under: Bacillus atrophaeus
Lineage: Bacteria; Bacillati; Bacillota; Bacilli; Caryophanales; Bacillaceae
Description: bacterial SSU rRNA
Rfam family: Bacterial small subunit ribosomal RNA
Source: RNAcentral